Molecule: ribosomal RNA, 945 nt
Filed under: Russula ambusta
Lineage: Eukaryota; Fungi; Basidiomycota; Agaricomycetes; Russulales; Russulaceae
Description: partial large subunit ribosomal RNA
Rfam family: Eukaryotic large subunit ribosomal RNA
Source: RNAcentral
AUAUCAAUAAGCGGAGGAAAAGAAACUAACAAGGAUUCCCCUAGUAACUGCGAGUGAAGCGGGAAAAGCUCAAAUUUAAAAUCUGGUGGCCUCUGGCCACCCGAGUUGUAAUUUAGAGAAGCGUCUUCCGCGCUGGACCAUGCACAAGUCUCCUGGAAUGGAGCGUCAUAGAGGGUGAGAAUCCCGUCUUUGGCAUGGAUGUACCAGGGCUUUUGUGAUGCGCUCUCAAAGAGUCGAGUUGUUUGGGAAUGCAGCUCAAAAUGGGUGGUGAACUCCAUCUAAAGCUAAAUAUUGGCGAGAGACCGAUAGCGAACAAGUACCGUGAGGGAAAGAUGAAAAGCACUUUGGAAAGAGAGUGAAACAGUACGUGAAAUUGUUGAAAGGGAAACGCUUGAAGUCAGUCGCGUCGACAGAGACUCAGCCUCGCCUUGGCUUGGUGUACUUCUCGGUCGACGGGUCAGCGUCAAUUUUGACCCUCGGAUAAUGGCAAGGGAAAGGUAGCACCUUUAUAGGUGUGUUAUAGUCUCUUGUCGCAUGCGAGGGUCGGGAUUGAGGAACUCAGCACGCACCUCUCGGUGUCGGGGCUUCGGCCCACGCUACGUGCUUAGGAUGCUGGCGUAAUGGCUUUAAACGACCCGUCUUGAAACACGGACCAAGGAGUCUAACAUGCCCGCGAGUGUUCGGGUGGAAAACCCGUGCGCGUAAUGAAAGUAAAAGUUGGGACCUCUGUCGUGGGGGGCACCGACGCCCGGACCAGACCUUCUGUGACGGAUCUGCGGUAGAGCGUGCAUGUUGGGACCCGAAAGAUGGUGAACUAUGCCUGAAUAGGGUGAAGCCAGAGGAAACUCUGGUGGAGGCUCGUAGCGAUUCUGACGUGCAAAUCGAUCGUCAAAUUUGGGUAUAGGGGCGAAAGACUAAUCGAACCAUCUAGUAGCUGGUUCCUGC